This 240-nucleotide ribosomal RNA is filed under the name uncultured bacterium. RNAcentral's name for it is "partial 16S ribosomal RNA". It matches the Rfam family "Bacterial small subunit ribosomal RNA", at positions 29 to 259 of the family's 1533-position model. The record is from RNAcentral.
AAUGAACGCUGGCGGCGCGCCUAAUACAUGCAAGUCGAGCGAGAAGACGUAGCAAUACGUUUGUAAAGCGGCGAACGGGUGAGGAAUACAUGGGUAACCUACCCUUGAGUGGGGAAUAACUAGCCGAAAGGUUAGCUAAUACCGCGUACGCUUCCUGGACUUCGGUUCAGGGAGGAAAGCGAUGCCGAGGGUAUCGCGCUCUUGGAUGGGCUCAUGUCCUAUCAGCUUGUUGGGAGGUAC